RNAcentral lists this ribosomal RNA (497 nucleotides) under uncultured bacterium. Its description in RNAcentral is "partial 16S ribosomal RNA". It matches the Rfam family "Bacterial small subunit ribosomal RNA", at positions 28 to 507 of the family's 1533-position model. The record is from RNAcentral.
GAUGAACGCUGGCGGCGUACCUAAUACAUGCCAGUCGAGCGAACGGACGAGAAGCUUGCUUCUCUGAUGUUAGCGGCGGACGGGUGAGUAACACGUGGAUAACCUACCUAUAAGACUGGGAUAACUUCGGGAAACCGGAGCUAAUACCGGAUGAUAUUUUGAACCGCAUGGUUCAAAAGUGAAAGACGGUCUUGCUGUCACUUAUAGAUGGAUCCGCGCUGCAUUAGCUAGUUGGUAAGGUAACGGCUUACCAAGGCAACGAUGCAUAGCCGACCUGAGAGGGUGAUCGGCCACACUGGAACUGAGACACGGUACAGACUCCUACGGGAGGCAGCAGUAGGGAAUCUUCCGCAAUGGGCGAAAGCCUGACGGAGCAACGCCGCGUGAGUGAUGAAGGUCUUCGGAUCAUAAAACUCUGUUAUUAGGGAAGAACAAAUGUGUAAGUAACUGUGCACAUCUUGACGGUACCUAAUCAGAAAGCCACGGCUAACUACGUA